CUCUACAUCUGGAAUGAUGACACACUCUUCUGCAAUUCGGGCUUUCAGCAGUCCCACUGGCAGAUCAUCUUGAUGCAGUGUGCAACAUCAACCCGAACAAAACAAGGUGGCACUUUUGCAGACUGAUUACCAACAUUUGCACGACUGGGACACUUGAGCUCUCAUUACCUGCCAGAACGCCCUGAUAUAAGAAGACAUGGCCAGAUGUGCCAUUUGGUCUCUGUAGUUUCCUCACUACUGAGCCAGUUGCA
Long non-coding RNA from Sinocyclocheilus grahami, 251 nucleotides. RefSeq lists it as uncharacterized. The transcript is spliced from 3 exons. Lineage: Eukaryota; Metazoa; Chordata; Actinopteri; Cypriniformes; Cyprinidae. The record is from RefSeq and is a predicted model, not a curated record.